GGGCCCGUAGCCUAGCACGGAUUAAGGCGUCAGCCUUCGGAGCUGAAGACCGUGGGUUCGAAUCCCUCCGGGCCCG
This 76-nucleotide transfer RNA is filed under the name Nitrososphaerota archaeon. RNAcentral describes it as "tRNA-Arg". It matches the Rfam family "tRNA". Rfam says of the family: Transfer RNA (tRNA) molecules are approximately 80 nucleotides in length. Their secondary structure includes four short double-helical elements and three loops (D, anti-codon, and T loops). Further hydrogen bonds mediate the characteristic L-shaped molecular structure. tRNAs have two regions of fundamental functional importance: the anti-codon, which is responsible for specific mRNA codon recognition, and the 3' end, to which the tRNAs corresponding amino acid is attached (by aminoacyl-tRNA synthetases). tRNAs cope with the degeneracy of the genetic code in two manners: having more than one tRNA (with a specific anti-codon) for a particular amino acid; and 'wobble' base-pairing, i.e. permitting non-standard base-pairing at the 3rd anti-codon position. Lineage: Archaea; Thermoproteati; Nitrososphaerota. The record is from RNAcentral. RNAcentral also lists the same sequence under 1 other name.